GUGGAGAUGGCUCAGUGGUUAAGAGCACUGGCUGCUCUUCCAGAGGACCUGGGUUUGAUUCCCAGCAUCCAGG
Molecule: transfer RNA, 73 nt
Filed under: Mesocricetus auratus (golden hamster)
Lineage: Eukaryota; Metazoa; Chordata; Mammalia; Rodentia; Cricetidae
Rfam family: tRNA
About the family: Transfer RNA (tRNA) molecules are approximately 80 nucleotides in length.
Source: Rfam by way of RNAcentral